This 238-nucleotide unclassified non-coding RNA is filed under the name uncultured fungus. RNAcentral's name for it is "sequence contains ITS1". The stretch from base 1 to 94 matches the Rfam family "5.8S ribosomal RNA", at positions 49 to 154 of the family's 154-position model. The record is from RNAcentral. Lineage: Eukaryota; Fungi.
AAGAAUGCGAUAUGCAAUGUGAAUUGCAGAACCACGAAUCAUCGGAUCUUUGAACGCAACUGGCGCUAGCCAUAGCAUACUUGCUUCAGUGUGCGCAAACACUUAAAACAACCUAAAUGUGGGAGAAUUUCUCCUAUUAAAUAUAUGCUCCUUGCAGCAGUCACAUUUUUGUGAGCUACAAGAGACUAAAACACUUUAUAUGCACCUGAAGUCAAGUAAGAUGACCCGCUGGACUUAA